GCGGAGGUGGCCAAGCGGCUAAGGCGAGAGGCUGCAACCCUCUUAUUCCUGGGUUCAAAUCCCAGCCUCCGCU
This 73-nucleotide transfer RNA is filed under the name Candidatus Woesearchaeota archaeon CG10_big_fil_rev_8_21_14_0_10_30_7. Its description in RNAcentral is "tRNA-Cys". It matches the Rfam family "tRNA". From Rfam's summary of the family: Transfer RNA (tRNA) molecules are approximately 80 nucleotides in length. Their secondary structure includes four short double-helical elements and three loops (D, anti-codon, and T loops). Lineage: Archaea; Nanobdellati; Candidatus Woesearchaeota. The record is from RNAcentral.